This 433-nucleotide ribosomal RNA is filed under the name uncultured bacterium. Its description in RNAcentral is "partial 16S ribosomal RNA". It matches the Rfam family "Bacterial small subunit ribosomal RNA", at positions 29 to 507 of the family's 1533-position model. The record is from RNAcentral.
AACGAACGCUGGCGGCAUGCCUAACACAUGCAAGUCGAACGAGAACUUCGGGUCUAGUGUCGCCUGGCUGCAUAACGCGAGGGAAGCUGCACAUGUGUUCGGCAUACCUCCCCGAAAGGGGUGAUCUCACCGGACCGUAUCUUAUGCCCAAUGAUUUAUUGACUUUGGAGGGGCCCGCGUUGGAUUCGCUAGUUCUUAGGCUAAAAGACUACCAAGGCGAGAAUCAGUAGAUUGUCUGAGAGGAAGAUCAGCCACACUGGCACUAGGACACGGCCCAGACUCUUACGGGAGGCAGCAGUGGGUAAUAUUGGACAAUGGGCGAAAGCAUGAUCCAGCAAGGCCGGGUGAGUGAUGAAGGCCGUAGGGUUGUAAAGCGCUUUUACCCGGGAUGAUAAUGACAGUACCGGGAGAAUAAGCUCCGGCUAACUCCGUG